This is a long non-coding RNA of Vespa velutina, 900 nucleotides long. RefSeq lists it as uncharacterized. The transcript has 2 exons. NCBI's taxonomy places the organism in Eukaryota, Metazoa, Arthropoda, Insecta, Hymenoptera, Vespidae. The record is from RefSeq and is a predicted model, not a curated record.
AAGAACUUACACGUUAUACACACGCGAAUGUAUGAGAGCUAUAAACACACAGGUGCGCGCGCGCGCAGUGCACUUCGACAUCAUAUUGCGGAAGACAUCCAUAGAUCAAAGCCAUCGACUUUAAUGACUUUUAAUGUUAUACAAGAGUCAUGGAAUUAGUUGUAAAACAUAUUGUACCCAUAACACUAGUUAUCCAGUUUUCAACAGUUACAUCAAGAACACGGAAUUUUUCAAUCGACGAAGGACAGCCGCCAUUGCGAAGAACUGAGUGGCAAGGGAGUUGCCCGAUUUUCACGAAGAGGAAAAAAAUACUUAGACAAAAUUUUACAAGGCAUAAAUAACACAUUAGUCGAUUAUAUUUACUCACGUGUGAUAUAAACCUUGUGAUAUCAAGUUGUAUGUUGAGAUCCUUUUCAUCGGACUGAUCCAACGUAGCGAUGAAUAUAACAGCUACAUUCGUUGCUUCGUUAAAGUUUUAGCACAUAUUACGUAGGCCACAGGUAGCUCGAGUAAGCAGAAGCCAUUAACCAUUAGCAUGUCCUUGCCUGACGUAACAAUAGUAAAGUGCUGCCACUGCAUUCCAAAUUGCGGCGGAAACACGAAACAUAUGCGAAUCUUGUCUGAUUGGCUGAAAUAAAAUUGCAUCAUAAUAAACGAUUACAAAUUUAGAACAUGAAUCUACCACGAAAAAUAUAUUUUACGUAUAAAUAAAUAUGUUGUAAUUUAUCGAAAGAUUUAUCGAUAUGUUAGAAAAAGAAAACUAAAAUGUUUAAAACUAAAAACAUUCAAAUAUUUCCAUAAAAAAAACUAUUCUGAACUGUUAAUAUUCUUUAUUCAUAUGGUUGCUUUCUUUAACGUCACAUUUGUUUAAUUAUAAAAUUUAUUAUGUAUAUACUUUUA